GACGAACGCUGGCGGCGUGCUUAACACAUGCAAGUCGAACGGAAAGGCCCUGCUUUUGUGGGUUGCUCGAGUGGCGAACGGGUGAGUAACACGUGAGUAACCUGCCCUUGACUUUGGGAUAACUUCAGGAAACUGGGGCUAAUACCGGAUAGGAUCUCCUGCUGCAUGGUGGGGGUUGGAAAGUUUCGGCGGUUGGGGAUGGACUCGCGGCUUAUCAGCUUGUUGGGGGGGUAGUGGCUUACCAAGGCUUUGACGGGUAGCCGGCCUGAGAGGGUGACCGGCCACACUGGGACUGAGAUACGGCCCCGACUCCUACGGGAGCGAGCAGUGGGGAAUAUUGCCCAAGGGGCGGAAGCCUGAUGCAGCAGCGCCGCGUGCGGGAUGACGGCCUUAGGGUUGUAAACCGCUUUCGCCUGUGACGAAGCGUGAGUGACGGUAAUGGGUAAAGAAGCCCCGGCUAACUACGUG
This 468-nucleotide ribosomal RNA is filed under the name uncultured bacterium. RNAcentral's name for it is "partial 16S ribosomal RNA". It matches the Rfam family "Bacterial small subunit ribosomal RNA", at positions 28 to 507 of the family's 1533-position model. The record is from RNAcentral.